GUCUGAUAGCAACAAGUAGAAAUUUACAUUUGGCAUCAAUUGCCCUCAGUGCUAACUAGGAACAGAAGCCACAAAACUGGGAAGCUAGCAGCGAUAAAUUUACAACCUUGACAAAGAGAGAAAUAUGAAGAUGAAGCUAAUGGUUUCGAGCUCUCUCAGUCCAGAGGCAGUCAUCCUGUUGUUGAAGUAACAUCUUUCUACCUUUCUCAGGAUGAAAUAGCUAAAAUUCAUUUUAUCAGCUGAGAGAGGGGAAAAUAUGACACACAGACUGCCUGGUUAUAGGACUGUCAUGCUGUGGAGUCCCAUCUGCCCUUCCCAAUAAAUGUGAGCAAAUUACCCCAUUUCUUUGCUGGUUCCCUGGUUGCGGGCUGCAAGACAGUCCUGCCUUCUCAUGUAAUCAGAGCAGUAAACUGCUUUCAGCUCUGUCAGACACCAAAACCUUCCCCAUGUCCCUCAUCUGUAGGACUUGCACCCAAGCAGCAAGUGCUUUGAGCUCAUGCCCAUUUCCUCUAGGAACCUAGAGGAGUCUAGAACUAGUGAGAACCCAGGCGUCCUGUCUGCUCUGCUGUGUUUUUGCUGUGCAAGACAUCUCUGUUCUCUUCUAAAGGAGUAUCAAUUGCUCUGAGGUUGCCAAAGUUCUCCUAUCUGGUAAGACUGAAAGGAGAAAGGAGGAAGAGAGAAUCUUCAAAAUGUUUAAAGGCUUGCUGAAAACAGAGCCCAGUGCACGGGAACUAAACCUGCAAUGGCCCCAAACUGAUCCUGAGGAUCAGGCACAAAUCCAGGGUCACAACGGUGCCUCACCACCAGUGUUUGCUUCCUUCUUGAAUCCAUACAGAGAGCCAGCCCUGGCUAGGUGUCAGUUACAACAAGUAAUGCCAGGCUGGAGCAAAUUGGGAUGCAGCACAUUCUUGUAACAGUCUCCAAGAGAUGCCAGUGCCCCACUGUGGAAGAGGCAGUGCAGCAGAGAAGAGAUGGCAUAGGCUGCUGUAUGAGAAAUCAGAGCCUCCCCUCAGCAUCGGUCUUUGUCUUCAGCAUGUGUAUGGGAUUUACUCUGAUCCAAAGUAUCCUGUGAGAAAGAAAGCCAACAUGCCCGACUACUCCUGUCAGUCCUACACACACUUUUUCUCUCCACCUUCAGUUGUCUAAUUUAGACAAUUCGUUGGUAAAUAUCCCUUUUUUUUUU
RNAcentral lists this long non-coding RNA (1183 nucleotides) under Anser brachyrhynchus (Pink-footed goose). RNAcentral's name for it is "lncRNA (ENSABRG00000015391.1)". Lineage: Eukaryota; Metazoa; Chordata; Aves; Anseriformes; Anatidae. The record is from RNAcentral.